Molecule: ribosomal RNA, 223 nt
Filed under: uncultured Desulfovibrio sp.
Lineage: Bacteria; Pseudomonadati; Thermodesulfobacteriota; Desulfovibrionia; Desulfovibrionales; Desulfovibrionaceae
Description: partial 16S ribosomal RNA
Rfam family: Bacterial small subunit ribosomal RNA
Source: RNAcentral
AAACCGGAGGAAGGUGGGAUGACGUCAAGUCCUCAUGGCCUUUAUGUCUAGGGCUACACACGUACUACAAUGGCCGGUACAAAGGGCAGCCACUCAGCGAUGAGGCGCUAAUCCCAUAAGCCGGUCUCAGUCCGGAUCGCAGUCUGCAACUCGACUGCGUGAAGUUGGAAUCGCCAGUAAUCGCGGAUCAGCAUGCCGCGGUGAAUACGUUCCCGGGCCCGUU